Puntigrus tetrazona (Sumatra barb) is the source of this 704-nucleotide long non-coding RNA. RefSeq lists it as uncharacterized. The record is from RefSeq and is a predicted model, not a curated record. NCBI's taxonomy places the organism in Eukaryota, Metazoa, Chordata, Actinopteri, Cypriniformes, Cyprinidae. The transcript is spliced from 4 exons.
CAGAAGUGAAAGCAGAAGUUGAGUUGUACAUUCAGUGUUCACACUUGACCGUUUUAUUUUUAAAAACUGAUCUUUAUUAUUUGCUGAUCUGGAAAUUUACAUGGACCUAAUGAAGAAACCAAGGACAUAUUGAGAACUUGUCUAAAAACCGAACGUCUUAAUCAAAGCAAAUCUUGAGCUGUGGAGCGCAAAGUCACUUCCUUAUUCAACUGUGAGUUGUUGAAGGAAGAUGGCGUUUGUUAAAGAGCUGCUCGUGGAUUCACUGAAGCAGCUGGUAGACGCUGAACUAAAGGAGUUUCACUGGCGCCUAAUGAAUGCACAUAAGCAUAUAUCCAAGUCUGAAAUGGAGAAGGCAGAUAGAUUCGACACAGUAGAUAAGAUGGUGGUGUGUUUUAGAGCAGAAGAAGCUGUGGAGGUCAUGGCAUCCUGAGAAAGAUGAAACAAAAUGAUCUGGCUGAACGGUUGGUGAAAGAACACAAGCAAGCUAAGACUGAGGGCGACGUGAAUAUAUCUGUUGCUACUGGAGAGCUGAAAAGCUUUUUGAAACUCACAAAAAAACAUGAAGAAGAAAGCAGAAUGUAUUUUUGAGGGCAAAAAAGAAAAUGAAGCACAACUCAAGGCUGUUUACACAGAACUGUUCAUCACAGAGGGAGAUAUGGAAGAUGUCAAUCACGAACAUGAGAUUCAACAGAUCGAUGGUGCUU